This 253-nucleotide ribosomal RNA is filed under the name uncultured bacterium. RNAcentral describes it as "partial 16S ribosomal RNA". It matches the Rfam family "Bacterial small subunit ribosomal RNA", at positions 524 to 776 of the family's 1533-position model. The record is from RNAcentral.
UACGGGGGUGGCAAUCGUUGUUCGGAAUUACUGGGCGUAAAGGGCUCGUAGGUGGCCAACUAAGUCAGACGUGAAAUCCCUCGGCUUAACCGGGGAACUGCGUCUGAUACUGGAUGGCUUGAGUUUGGGAGAGGGACGCGGAAUUCCAGGUGUAGCGGUGAAAUGCGUAGAUAUCUGGAGGAACACCGGUGGCGAAGGCGGCGUCCUGGACCAACACUGACACUGAUGAGCGAAAGCCAGGGGAGCAAACGGG